RNAcentral lists this ribosomal RNA (253 nucleotides) under uncultured bacterium. RNAcentral's name for it is "partial 16S ribosomal RNA". It matches the Rfam family "Bacterial small subunit ribosomal RNA", at positions 524 to 776 of the family's 1533-position model. The record is from RNAcentral.
UACGGGGGGGGCUAGCGUUGUUCGGAAUUACUGGGCGUAAAGGGCGCGUAGGCGGUCUGCUAAGUUGGAUGUGAAAACUCUGGGCUUAACCCAGAGCCUGCAUUCAAUACUGACAGGCUAGAGUUCUGGAGGGGAUAGCGGAAUUCCUGGUGUAGCGGUGAAAUGCGCAGAUAUCAGGAGGAACACCGGUGGCGAAGGCGGGUCUCUGGGCAACAACUGACGCUGAGGAGCGAAAGCGUGGGGAGCGAACAGG